UUAUAGAUGAAGAGUUCUGUUUUCUCACU
RNAcentral lists this small RNA (29 nucleotides) under Bombyx mori (domestic silkworm). RNAcentral describes it as "ovarian small RNA-36790". Lineage: Eukaryota; Metazoa; Arthropoda; Insecta; Lepidoptera; Bombycidae. The record is from RNAcentral.